RNAcentral lists this ribosomal RNA (930 nucleotides) under Triticum aestivum (bread wheat). Its description in RNAcentral is "partial small subunit ribosomal RNA". Lineage: Eukaryota; Viridiplantae; Streptophyta; Magnoliopsida; Poales; Poaceae. The record is from RNAcentral.
AUGGCACAUUUUAUACCUUGUCAUAAAAGUGACGAUGCUACUCACAUUGCUGAUUUGUUCUUUCGCGAAGUAGUUCGUUUACAUGGUGUGCCAAAUACAAUUGUUUCUGAUCGUGACACAAAAUUCCUUAGCCACUUUUGGAGGGUGUUGUGGACAAAAUUGGGGACUAAGCUUUUAUUUAGUACUACAUGUCAUCCUCAAACUGAUGGUCAAACUGAAGUGGUUAAUCGUACAUUGUCUACUAUGCUUAGGGCUGUUUUGAAGAAGAACUUAAAAAUGUGGGAAGAAUGUCUACCACAUGUAGAGUUUGCUUAUAAUCGUUACGUUCAUUCCACCACAAAAUUAUGCCCUUUUGAGAUUGUUUAUGGAUUUAUACCUCGUGCACCAAUUGAUUUAUUACCUAUUCCAUCUUCAGAGAAGGUAAACCUUGAUGCUAAAGAACGUGCUGAAUUAGUAUUAAAAAUGCAUGAGAUGACUAAGAAAAAUAUUGAACGCAUGAAUGCCAAAUAUAAACUUGCUGGUAGUCAGGGAAGGAAAAGUGUUGUUUUUGAACCAGGUGAUUUAGUAUGGUUGCAUUUGCGAAAAGACCGUUUCCCUGAUUUACGAAAGUCAAAAUUAAUGCCUCGUGCGGAUGGACCUUUUAAAGUGCUUGAAAAAAUUAACGAGAAUGCAUAUAAGCUUGAUUUACCUGCAGAAUUUCGGGUUAGUCCCACAUUUAAUGUUGCAGAUUUAAAGCCUUAUUUGGGUGAUGACGACGAGGUACCAUCGAGGACGACUUCGAUUCAAGAAGGGGGGAUGAUGAGGACAUCUCUUCUAUUGUUACACCCGCCGCAACUCCUACAUCAGUUAUUCCACUUGGUCCUAUUACUAGAGCGCGGGCGAGACAAAUUAAUGGCCAGGUACUAUCGCUUCUUCGUACAUAUGAUUUAA